CCGACCUACCCAUAGAUUUGCUCGCAUCGCCGCCGCCGCCGCCCCUGACCUACCCAUAGAUUUGCUCGCAUCACCGCCUCUCCCUCCACGGCAUCCCACCCUUGCCCGUCCUCUAGUCCUGCGUGCUGCCCCGUCAUCCACGGCCGAGGAGCUGCUGCCCCGUCUGCAGCCAAGGCGCCACCGCCUACUCCACUGCCUAGGAGCUGGCGAGGAGGCAACUGCAGUUCUGGAGUUGCCCCGCCGUUCUUCUUCCUCCACCAGCGACCCCUGUCCAGAUCGGCACCCUUGUCCUGCCCCGACUCCAGGCCACAGCAGGAGAAAAGAUGGAAGGAACAAGAGGUGGAAGCGAGCUCCCUACAUAUGAACAAUCAAGAGUUAGGCUCGUAGCAGACAUGAUUUGGCUGAAGAACUUGGCUAUGGCCCACAGAGAGAUGAAAUAUUUGUCAGAGCACAUACACAUAAAAUUGGAGUUCCUACCGCACAAGCAAACACUAAUUGUUAGUCGCACAUACACAUCAUGUGUUUUUCUUUAGUACAGCCAUGCACGUGACUGCAUAUCAAUUUAUGAGAAGUAUAGACUGCACUGACUUAAUUGUAGAACUAAAUUAGGUACCUCAUUUGCUGUAUUUUUUCAAAACAACCUGAAGAAGUAGCUGAACCACCAACAACACUUGCAAUGGAAAUUCAAUUUCGUCAACAAGAUGAACAUGUUUCUACUCUACUAGAGCUCACGGAAAAAAUGCAACGAAAAAUUGGAGAGAUGCAUCAAGUUCUCUUCUCAAGGAAUCGGAAAUGUCGAAAUACCAGAUUCCUGAAUACAUUCCUGACCUCGCACAUCCAAUCACCGGUCUGAUCUUGUUGUCCAACGACCGAGAGUUCCGAGACGAAUGCGCGGCACUCCUCAGGAAACAUAGGGACAUAUGGCAGAAAGUAGGAAGUCCACAAGUUGAUGUAAGAUGUUCCGGUGAUCGCUUUUGUUCAUUACAUGGUCGACACAACUUAUUCAUAUGGAAGUUGAUGUCGGCUUGGUGAUCGAAGGAUUAGUCUUUUUCAUAUAAGGAAGUUGAUGCUGGCUUGGUGAUCGAAGGAUUGGUCUCUUUCAUGUGGAAGUUGAUGUCAGCUUGGUGAUUGAAGGAUUGGUCUCUUUCAUAAUUGCUCUCUUAGAAGCUUGCCCCUCAUAUUUAAGAACAUGUCAUGUCUUGUAUGUAAUACCUAUGUAUUUCCUUAAUGGAUGUAGCUAACUUGAGUGAAGAAAACUAAUGAAUUUUCAAUUUAUGUUGAAUAAAUAUAUUGGUCAAUGGUAUCUUGUGACGAAUAGAAGAGUAAUUGUUUGUAUA
Triticum dicoccoides is the source of this 1337-nucleotide long non-coding RNA. RefSeq lists it as uncharacterized. The transcript is spliced from 5 exons. The record is from RefSeq and is a predicted model, not a curated record. NCBI's taxonomy places the organism in Eukaryota, Viridiplantae, Streptophyta, Magnoliopsida, Poales, Poaceae.